CCUGCAGCAGCAGCGGGGUACUGAAGAUCAUUCAAUUGUUCUUGGAAGGAGUUGAAACCCCCUUGCAACUCCUGCACCGCCAGGGUUAAAGCGUCUAAUUGCUGGGACAACAAGGCGAGAGUAUUGGGUUCCUCUUCUUGAUCCAUUUUAUGGCCUGGUUAUUCUGUCAGGCUUACCAGGUAGGAUCAGACGUGUAGAGAGAGAGACCCACGAGCGCCCCACACAGCCUAAGCUCACCUGAGGAUGGUACAGGGAACUGAGGGAGUGACGAGUAGCCGGUGAGGCCGGAAACGAGGUACACAAGGAUGAGACGAAGGCUUGGUCAGGCAGAUCCGGGUCGAGUCAGGCAGCAGAGGUUCUUAAACGGUAAACAGGCCAAAGUCAGGAACAGAGAGUAGUCGGAAAGUCAAAAGCAGAACAGGGUCAAACCGAAGUAUCAGGAACAGGAACAGGCUAGGUAUCUUAGGAGUGGACCGUGAUAACCAGGCACUGAUAGGCAUUGUAACCAGCUUUAAAUAGCCCAGGGGGAAGGGCGUCAAGACGCACGCAAUGCACCUGACGUGCGUCAAGACGCACGCCGCGUAACGCUAUACGCGCGCGUAAUUUCACCGUACGUGCUCGUGAAAAGUCGCCGCGCAUGUACGCAACCCGUCUCAAUGGAUGCGCGCGCAUAAUCGCGCGCGCACCAGGACGAGCGCGAGAAUGCGCACAAUGCGACGCGACGUUCAGGCCGCGACACGCACUGAGCGACGAAAACCAUGCCGACGGCGGACAACGCGGCGAACACGGUGAGUAUCCUUACACCAACCUUCUAAAACAAAUCACAACCAUAAACCAAACACUCGGUAAGACACUGGUGGUGCACUAGAGUACUUCUAUGGCCACACAACAGUGCCUCUGGCCUUGGGGUUAGGUUAAUACUUAGCUGUCUGUGAAAUAAAUCAGUGACCUCUAGAUAUUAUAUUCCAUUUGAUUAUACAUUUUUCUUUGUAGAUAAGCAGAAAGCCAACUUUCUAACACAAAUGACAGCUAUAAAAAAGACACUGGAUAAGGACAAAGCCAACUUUCUAACACAAAUCAGGACAAUAAACCAGACACUGGGUAAGC
Molecule: long non-coding RNA, 1107 nt
Organism: Xenopus tropicalis (tropical clawed frog)
Lineage: Eukaryota; Metazoa; Chordata; Amphibia; Anura; Pipidae
Exons: 2
Source: RefSeq, a predicted model, not a curated record